GGGUUGUGAGGUUAAGCGACUAAGCGUACACGGUGGAUGCCCUGGCAGUCAGAGGCGAUGAAGGGCGUGCUAAUCUGCGAUAAGCGCCGGUAAGGUGAUAUGAACCGUUAUAACCGGCGAUACCCGAAUGGGGAAACCCAGUGUGACUCGUCACACUAUCAUUAACUGAAUCCAUAGGUUAAUGAGGCGAACCGGGGGAACUGAAACAUCUAAGUACCCCGAGGAAAAGAAAUCAACCGAGAUUCCCCCAGUAGCGGCGAGCGAACGGGGAGGAGCCCAGAGCCUGAAUCAGCAUGUGUGUUAGUGGAAGCGUCUGGAAAGGCGCGCGAUACAGGGUGACAGCCCCGUACACAAAAGCGCAUGUGCUGUGAGCUCGAUGAGUAGGGCGGGACACGUGGUAUCCUGUCUGAAUAUGGGGGGACCAUCCUCCAAGGCUAAAUACUCCUGACUGACCGAUAGUGAACCAGUACCGUGAGGGAAAGGCGAAAAGAACCCCGGCGAGGGGAGUGAAAAAGAACCUGAAACCGUGUACGUACAAGCAGUGGGAGCACAGGNNNNNNNNUGUGACUGCGUACCUUUUGUAUAAUGGGUCAGCGACUUAUAUUCUGUAGCAAGGUUAACCGAAUAGGGGAGCCGGAGGGAAACCGAGUCUUAAUUGGGCGUUAAGUUGCAGGGUAUAGACCCGAAACCCGGUGAUCUAGCCAUGGGCAGGUUGAAGGUUGGGUAACACUAACUGGAGGACCGAACCGACUAAUGUUGAAAAAUUAGCGGAUGACCUGUGGCUGGGGGUGAAAGGCCAAUCAAACCGGGAGAUAGCUGGUUCUCCCCGAAAGCUAUUUAGGUAGCGCCUCGUGAAUUCAUCUCCGGGGGUAGAGCACUGUUUCGGCUAGGGGGCCAUCCCGGCUUACCAACCCGAUGCAAACUGCGAAUACCGGAGAAUGUUAUCACGGGAGACACACGGCGGGUGCUAACGUCCGUCGUGAAGAGGGAAACAACCCAGACCGCCAGCUAAGGUCCCAAAGUCAUGGUUAAGUGGGAAACGAUGUGGGAAGGCCCAGACAGCCAGGAUGUUGGCUUAGAAGCAGCCAUCAUUUAAAGAAAGCGUAAUAGCUCACUGGUCGAGUCGGCCUGCGCGGAAGAUGUAACGGGGCUAAACCAUGCACCGAAGCUGCGGCAGCGACACUGUGUGUUGUUGGGUAGGGGAGCGUUCUGUAAGCCUGCGAAGGUGGCCUGUGAGGGUUGCUGGAGGUAUCAGAAGUGCGAAUGCUGACAUAAGUAACGAUAAAGCGGGUGAAAAGCCCGCUCGCCGGAAGACCAAGGGUUCCUGUCCAACGUUAAUCGGGGCAGGGUGAGUCGACCCCUAAGGCGAGGCCGAAAGGCGUAGUCGAUGGGAAACGGGUUAAUAUUCCCGUACUUGGUGUUACUGCGAAGGGGGGACGGAGAAGGCUAUGUUGGCCGGGCGACGGUUGUCCCGGUUUAAGCGUGUAGGUGUGUGUUCCAGGUAAAUCCGGUUCACUUUAACACUGAGGCGUGACGACGAGGCACUACGGUGCUGAAGCAACAAAUGCCCUGCUUCCAGGAAAAGCCUCUAAGCAUCAGGUAACAUCAAAUCGUACCCCAAACCGACACAGGUGGUCAGGUAGAGAAUACCAAGGCGCUUGAGAGAACUCGGGUGAAGGAACUAGGCAAAAUGGUGCCGUAACUUCGGGAGAAGGCACGCUGACACGUAGGUGAAGUGAUUUACUCAUGGAGCUGAAGUCAGUCGAAGAUACCAGCUGGCUGCAACUGUUUAUUAAAAACACAGCACUGUGCAAACACGAAAGUGGACGUAUACGGUGUGACGCCUGCCCGGUGCCGGAAGGUUAAUUGAUGGGGUCAGCGCAAGCGAAGCUCCUGAUCGAAGCCCCGGUAAACGGCGGCCGUAACUAUAACGGUCCUAAGGUAGCGAAAUUCCUUGUCGGGUAAGUUCCGACCUGCACGAAUGGCGUAAUGAUGGCCAGGCUGUCUCCACCCGAGACUCAGUGAAAUUGAACUCGCUGUGAAGAUGCAGUGUACCCGCGGCAAGACGGAAAGACCCCGUGAACCUUUACUAUAGCUUGACACUGAACAUUGAGCCUUGAUGUGUAGGAUAGGUGGGAGGCUUUGAAGUGUGGACGCCAGUCUGCAUGGAGCCGACCUUGAAAUACCACCCUUUAAUGUUUGAUGUUCUAACGUGGACCCGUUACCCGGGUUGCGGACAGUGUCUGGUGGGUAGUUUGACUGGGGCGGUCUCCUCCUAAAGAGUAACGGAGGAGCACGAAGGUUGGCUAAUCCUGGUCGGACAUCAGGAGGUUAGUGCAAUGGCAUAAGCCAGCUUGACUGCGAGCGUGACGGCGCGAGCAGGUGCGAAAGCAGGUCAUAGUGAUCCGGUGGUUCUGAAUGGAAGGGCCAUCGCUCAACGGAUAAAAGGUACUCCGGGGAUAACAGGCUGAUACCGCCCAAGAGUUCAUAUCGACGGCGGUGUUUGGCACCUCGAUGUCGGCUCAUCACAUCCUGGGGCUGAAGUAGGUCCCAAGGGUAUGGCUGUUCGCCAUUUAAAGUGGUACGCGAGCUGGGUUUAGAACGUCGUGAGACAGUUCGGUCCCUAUCUGCCGUGGGCGCUGGAGAACUGAGGGGGGCUGCUCCUAGUACGAGAGGACCGGAGUGGACGCAUCACUGGUGUUCGGGUUGUCAUGCCAAUGGCACUGCCCGGUAGCUAAAUGCGGAAGAGAUAAGUGCUGAAAGCAUCUAAGCACGAAACUUGCCCCGAGAUGAGUUCUCCCUGAGACUUAAAGUCUCCUGAAGGAACGUUGAAGACGACGACGUUGAUAGGCCGGGUGUGUAAGCGCAGCGAUGCGUUGAGCUAACCGGUACUAAUGAACCGUGAGGCUUAACCUUACAACGCCGAAG
This 2928-nucleotide ribosomal RNA is filed under the name Salmonella enterica subsp. enterica serovar Enteritidis str. SA20090419. RNAcentral describes it as "bacterial LSU rRNA". It matches the Rfam family "Bacterial large subunit ribosomal RNA". Lineage: Bacteria; Pseudomonadati; Pseudomonadota; Gammaproteobacteria; Enterobacterales; Enterobacteriaceae. The record is from RNAcentral.